AUUGAACGCUGGCGGCAGGCUUAACACAUGCAAGUCGAGCGGGGGAAGGUAGCUUGCUACCGGACCUAGCGGCGGACGGGUGAGUAAUGCUUAGGAAUCUGCCUAUUAGUGGGGGACAACAUCUCGACAGGGAUGCUAAUACCGCAUACGUCCUACGGGAGAAAGCGGGGGAUCUUCGGACCUUGCGCUAAUAGAUGAGCCUAAGUCGGAUUAGCUAGUUGGUGGGGUAAAGGCAUACCAAGGCGACGAUCUGUAGCGGGUCGGAGAGGAUGAUCCGCCACACUGGGACUGAGACACGGCCCAGACUCCUACGGGAGGCAGCAGUGGGGAAUAUUGGACAAUGGGGGGAACCCUGAUCCAGCCAUGCCGCGUGUGUGAAGAAGGCCUUAUGGUUGUAAAGCACUUUAAGCGAGGAGGAGGCUACUCUAGUUAAUACCUAGGGAUAGUGGACGUUACUCGCAGAAUAAGCACCGGCUAACUCUGUGCCAGCAGCCGCCGUAA
RNAcentral lists this ribosomal RNA (501 nucleotides) under uncultured bacterium. Its description in RNAcentral is "partial 16S ribosomal RNA". It matches the Rfam family "Bacterial small subunit ribosomal RNA", at positions 30 to 523 of the family's 1533-position model. The record is from RNAcentral.